UUUUACAAUGGAGAGUUUGAUCCUGGCUCAGGAUGAACGCUAGCGGCAGGCCUAAUACAUGCAAGUCGA
Molecule: ribosomal RNA, 69 nt
Filed under: Flavobacterium sp.
Lineage: Bacteria; Pseudomonadati; Bacteroidota; Flavobacteriia; Flavobacteriales; Flavobacteriaceae
Description: partial 16S ribosomal RNA
Rfam family: Bacterial small subunit ribosomal RNA
Source: RNAcentral